AGUGAACGCUGGCGGUAGGCCUAACACAUGCAAGUCGAACGGCAGCACAGAGGAGCUUGCUCCUUGGGUGGCGAGUGGCGGACGGGUGAGGAAUACAUCGGAAUCUACUCUGUCGUGGGGGAUAACGCAGGGAAACUUACGCUAAUACCGCAUACGACAUACGGGAGAAAGCAGGGGACCUUCGAGCCCUGCGCGAUUGAAUCAGCCGAUGUCGGAGUAGCUAGUUGGCGGGGUAAAGGCCCACCAAGGCGACGAUCCGUAGCUGGUCUGAGAGGAUGAUCAGCCACACUGGAACUGAGACACGGUCCAGACUCCUACGGGAGGCAGCAGUGGGGAAUAUUGGACAAUGGGCGCAAGCCUGAUCCAGCCAUACCGCGUGGGUGAAGAAGGCCUUCGGGUUGUAAAGCCCUUUUGUUGGGAAAGAAAUCCAGCUGGCUAAUACCCGGUUGGGAUGACGGUACCCAAAGAAUAAGCACCGGCUAACUUCGUGCCAGCCGCCGCGGUAA
RNAcentral lists this ribosomal RNA (506 nucleotides) under uncultured bacterium. RNAcentral describes it as "partial 16S ribosomal RNA". It matches the Rfam family "Bacterial small subunit ribosomal RNA", at positions 29 to 523 of the family's 1533-position model. The record is from RNAcentral.